UUGAUCCUGCCCUGUUUGCGGGAUUUUUGGGUCCUCUUAAACCCACAUCACUAAUAAGGGAUGCCACAUUCCUGGGUGAAUUGCAGGCCUCCCGGCUCCCCAUUCAGAGGGAUGUUGGAAGUUGGAAGCGUGGAAGCACAGGAGAGGCGACCCACCUGCCGGAGACGUGCAGGUUAUAAUAGGACCCCCACGGCAGCGGCGGGGAAAGC
RNAcentral lists this non-coding RNA (209 nucleotides) under Candidatus Scatomorpha pullistercoris. RNAcentral describes it as "6S RNA". It matches the Rfam family "6S / SsrS RNA". From Rfam's summary of the family: E. coli 6S RNA was the first non coding RNA to be sequenced, but its function was unknown until recently. The record is from RNAcentral. Lineage: Bacteria; Bacillati; Bacillota; Clostridia; Eubacteriales.